Molecule: ribosomal RNA, 254 nt
Filed under: uncultured bacterium
Lineage: Bacteria
Description: partial 16S ribosomal RNA
Rfam family: Bacterial small subunit ribosomal RNA
Source: RNAcentral
UACGUAGGGUGCGAGCGUUGUCCGGAAUUAUUGGGCGUAAAGAGCUCGUAGGCGGUCUGUCGCGUCGAUCGUGAAAACUUGGGGCUUAACCCUGAGCUUGCGGUCGAUACGGGCCUGACUGGAGUUCGGCAGGGGAGACUGGAAUUCCUGGUGUAGCGGUGAAAUGCGCAGAUAUCAGGAGGAACACCGGUGGCGAAGGCGGGUCUCUGGGCCGAUACUGACGCUGAGGAGCGAAAGCGUGGGGAGCGAACAGG